GAUGAACGCUGGCGGCGUGCCUAAUACAUGCAAGUCGAGCGAACAGACGAGGAGCUUGCUCCUCUGACGUUAGCGGCGGACGGGUGAGUAACACGUGGAUAACCUACCUAUAAGACUGGGAUAACUUCGGGAAACCGGAGCUAAUACCGGAUAAUAUAUUGAACCGCAUGGUUCAAUAGUGAAAGACGGUUUUGCUGUCACUUAUAGAUGGAUCCGCGCCGCAUUAGCUAGUUGGUAAGGUAACGGCUUACCAAGGCGACGAUGCGUAGCCGACCUGAGAGGGUGAUCGGCCACACUGGAACUGAGACACGGUCCAGACUCCUACGGGAGGCAGGAGUAGGGAAUCUUCCGCAAUGGGCGAAAGCCUGACGGAGCAACGCCGCGUGAGUGAUGAAGGUCUUCGGAUCGUAAAACUCUGUUAUUAGGGAAGAACAAAUGUGUAAGUAACUAUGCACGUCUUGACGGUACCUAAUCAGAAAGCCACGGCUAACUACGU
This 496-nucleotide ribosomal RNA is filed under the name uncultured bacterium. RNAcentral's name for it is "partial 16S ribosomal RNA". It matches the Rfam family "Bacterial small subunit ribosomal RNA", at positions 28 to 506 of the family's 1533-position model. The record is from RNAcentral.